CUGUUAAAAAGCUCGUAGUUGGAUCAAGAGUCGGACAGUGCACGGUGACCCUGUUUGGCACGGUGGCUCCGGUCACUGUGUCGGCAGCGGAUCAACCCCGUGCGCCAAACUGUCCGCUCUAACAGACCGAAACGGUUCCCUGUGAGUAGGCUCCUUAAUUGGCGCUGAAAGCGAUUACGCAUCAACCAUAUGCAUACGGGAUGUCGGUCAAUGUUACUGUGAACAAACCAGCGUGUCCACAACAGGCCUCCGGCCUGAAUGUUCGAGCAUGGAAUAACAAGGGAUCGAUUCUCUCGGUUCUUUUUGUUUGUUUUUAACCCGAGAAGGAGUAAUUCAGGCCACGGUGUCUGAGUUGGGUUUCCCUUGACUUCGGUGAAGGCCCCAAUUAGGCCGUGUCCUUACGGGAUAAAUAGGGACUGACGGGGUCGUACGUACUUCCACGUCAGAGGUGAAAUUCUUAGAUCGUGGGAAGACGAUCUUCUGCGAAAGCAUUCGACAAGAAUGUCUUCAUUAAUCAAGAACGAGAGUGUGGGGAUCGAAGAUGAUCAGUUACCGUCGUAGUCCACUACUGUAAACAAUGCCGUCUCAGGAUUGAGAGGUGAACAGAAUGACUUUCACAGCACUAACCCCUGAACCGAGAAAUCAAAGACUAUG
Molecule: ribosomal RNA, 654 nt
Filed under: uncultured marine eukaryote
Lineage: Eukaryota
Description: bacterial SSU rRNA
Rfam family: Eukaryotic small subunit ribosomal RNA
Source: RNAcentral